GAUGAUAUUGAGGAUGUGAGCAGUCCUUUCACCUUUAAGAGUUGUCUUCAAAAUGGAGCUUGUUCUUUUUCCUAAGUUUCAGUCUGAGAAUCCAGCUGGAGUAUCAGCCACUCACCCUGCUGCUGAAGAAUAUGGUGAAGAGGAUGUCCUUUGCGAUAAAGGCACUACGCCGGAAAGCAUGACCUUCAGAGGACUGGACUGAACUUGAACUGUGUUUAGGCAGCAUGAAGUAGAGAACACGAGGCACUUACCCGAGAACAACAUCCCGCUGAAGCCAUUAGUGAAGAGGUUGUGUAUCAGUUAUCCAGACCCUCUGCUGGAGGAUUCAAAUUGGACCAGAUUCCUUUGUAAAGUGGUCUCUCACCUCUAUUAUGGGACAUGUUGUACUUCAUUGCUUCUGGGUGGUCCUGUACACCUAGAAUGGCUUAUAGUUGCGAGAGGUCCCACCACACUCAACUGCCGGCAUUCACACUCCGUCCUCUCUCACUGCACACCUUCCUGUUGAGAUUGGCUCACUUCGAUUCCUCUAAGAUGAAUGUCUCUCUGAACCUCUUGUGGCAUUUGAGUGAACUGCAGUUCCAGGUUCCAGCUCUGGGAACUACAGAGGAAUUUGCUGCAUCACAGACCAAAUCUGUGUACACAACAUUCCUUUGA
Cyprinus carpio (common carp) is the source of this 654-nucleotide long non-coding RNA. The record is from Ensembl. Lineage: Eukaryota; Metazoa; Chordata; Actinopteri; Cypriniformes; Cyprinidae.